Solea solea (common sole) is the source of this 1061-nucleotide long non-coding RNA. RefSeq lists it as uncharacterized. The transcript is spliced from 3 exons. NCBI's taxonomy places the organism in Eukaryota, Metazoa, Chordata, Actinopteri, Pleuronectiformes, Soleidae. The record is from RefSeq and is a predicted model, not a curated record.
GUUUCUAUUUCUGUGAAAAUGGUGCUCUAAAAAAUGUUUUUGACCUGGGUCUGCGUGGAGUUUGCAUGUUCUCCCCAUGUGUACGUGGGUUUUCUCCAGGUUCUCCGGCUUCCUCCCACAGUCCAUAAACAUGAAAUAUGGAGAAAAGGUAAAUUGGACACUCUAAAUUGACCGUGAGCUUGAGAGUCUCUAUGUGGCCCUAUGAUGGACUGGCGAUCUGUCCGUGGUGUGACCCCGCUUAUCGCCCUAUGUCAGCUAACCUGUGACCCUCAUGUGGAGGAUAAAGCUGUAGAAGAUGGAUAGAUGGAUGGUGGCUUUAAAAAAAACCCCAGCAAACCCUCAUACACAAUUACAGUAAUAUUAUAACUCUGUGUAUGUGUACAUACUUUGUAUUCUUUGUCUUUUCAUGUUUUAGUAAAUGUAACACCCACCUUUCCCAAGGACAUCACAGUUGACAAGCUCAACUUGCCAGUGUUCCUGACUGCAGUGCCGUGCGUGGCAGCAAUGCUGUUUGUGUGUGUGUUUGCACUUUAUCUUUUGCUGACUGAUAAGUGCCAAAGACCAAAUCCCCUAGUGAACAGAAAGACUUCAUCAGACAACAAGACAAUGAUGCACGGUGUGGUAGUGACUGGUCCUGAUCGCCGAUCUCUGCCACCGCUGCCUCCUGACCUCUGCGCACACUUCACGUCGCGUCAUCAAGAGUCUGUCAUCUCAUAUGUUGAUGUGGAUGCACCAGAUCACAUCUGCCAGUAUCAACACCUAGACCUCAGCCGCUCAGAGGAUCAUGUGUAUCACGUGCUUCAAAGAAACUGUGUACAUGAACCUUUGGGAAUCCAAAAACAGAUUAACAGUUGAUAUAUAAGUCCAUCAUUUCCCCCCCACAUCUGUCUGUCUAUCUACUUACUGAGAUGGCUGGGUGAGGAAAUUGUUAUAGUUGAUAUGAGAAAAGUUAAUGAUUCACAAUCUUAAGCUAGUAACCCGAUAUUUCUUUUGUGUGAUUUAUUUUGUUGUAAAAUGUUGUACAGUGUUUUAUGAUAAAUCUCACCCAAAUAAACAAAUAA